This is an RNA transcript of Bicyclus anynana (squinting bush brown), 2367 nucleotides long. It is a transcript of the gene named matrix metalloproteinase-14, with no coding region annotated. The record is from RefSeq and is a predicted model, not a curated record. The transcript is spliced from 13 exons. NCBI's taxonomy places the organism in Eukaryota, Metazoa, Arthropoda, Insecta, Lepidoptera, Nymphalidae.
ACGGCAUAUCAACAACACAUAUCGAAUCGUACUUCAAUGAUUUUAUAGACAUAUACUUUGUUAUAUCUAACAUAUAUAUCAGAAUAUAUAUAUAUAUUUUCAACACAUAAGAAUGACAUAUUGUCUGUUAUAACAGAGGUAGUAUUUUAUAGAUAAUUUUAAGAAUAAAUGAGCUUAUUAAGUAUAAGAGAAGAUAAGACAUCAAGAAACAUGGCGUUUAUUAGUUUGAGAAGUAGCUUAAGGAUAGUGUGGACGGUUGCGGCGAUGCUGGUCUUCCUCACGAGGAGUGGUGCUGCACCAGCUUAUGGUGAAACCAACAGGGCAAUGCCUGAUUAUGACGUGAACUUCCAGAUGUACCUGGCCCAAUAUGGCUACCUCAGUCCGUCUGUACGGAACCCUUCCAGCGGUCACAUAAUGGACGAAAGCACGUGGAAAAAAGCCAUCCAAGAGUUCCAGAGCUUCGCCGGAUUAAAUAGUACAGGUGAACUGGACGAGGAAACAGUGAAGCUGAUGUCAUUGCCAAGGUGUGGAGUCAAAGAUAAAGUAGGCUUUGGUGAAAGCCGAGCAAAACGAUAUGCGCUACAGGGCUCAAGGUGGCGUGUAAAGAACCUCACAUACAAGAUCUCCAAGUAUCCGUCCAGACUGAACCACGCGGAGGUCGACGCCGAACUGGCUAAGGCGUUUGCCGUGUGGUCGGAUUUCACAGACCUCACUUUUACUCAGAAGCGAUCUGGACAAGUUCACAUUGAAAUUAGGUUUGAAAAGGGCGAGCACGGCGACGGCGAUCCCUUCGACGGUCCCGGCGGCACCCUCGCACACGCGUACUUCCCCGUUUACGGUGGUGACGCUCACUUUGACGAUGCUGAGAUGUGGUCCAUUAACUCCAGAAGAGGAACUAACCUUUUCCAAGUGGCAGCGCACGAAUUUGGUCAUUCUCUAGGCCUUUCACACAGCGACGUCCGGUCAGCGUUGAUGGCACCCUUCUAUAGAGGCUACGACCCCGCCUUCCAACUAGACCAGGAUGAUAUAAUGGGAAUACAGGCGCUGUACGGUCAUAAGACACAAGUGGAUAUCGGCGGAGGACUGCCAAACCCCACCGUGCCACGGGUCACCACACCACAACCCUCGGCCGAAGAUCAGGAGCUCUGUUCUGACUCUAAAUUCGAUACCAUAUUUAACUCUGCCGACGGUUCUACUUUUGUUUUCAAAGGCGAUAAUUACUGGAAAUUGACUGAGAAUGGCGUAGCGGCGGGCUAUCCCCGACCUAUCUCCCGCUCAUGGCCCGGCCUGCCUGGUAACAUCGAUGCUGCUUUCACAUAUAAGAACGGAAAGACGUACUUCUUCAAGGGCUCCAAAUACUGGCGAUAUAAUGGACAGAAGAUGGAUGGAGACUAUCCCAAGGAAAUUAGUGAAGGUUUCACUGGCAUUCCAGACAAUAUCGAUUCUGCGUUAGUGUGGUCUGGCAAUGGCAAGAUCUACUUCUACAAAGGAUCCAAGUUCUGGAGGUUCGACCCCGCUCAACGUCCCCCCGUCAAGUCGACGUAUCCCAAGCCGUUGUCCAACUGGGCCGGAAUACCCGACAAUAUCGACGCAGCGUUACAGUACACUAAUGGUUACACAUAUUUCUUCAAGGGUGGAUCAUACUGGCGGUUUAAUGAUAGAACUUUCAGUGUGGACACCGACAACCCAGCAUUCCCAAGAUCCACUGGUUACUGGUGGUUGGGUUGUAGUAGUGCGCCGCGUGGUACCGUCGGAGGUAAUGCGCGUCUUUCUGCCCCCUCAGACGAACACCACGACGAUGAUGACGACGUGGGCGAUAUUAUAUUUGAUGCAGGUUUAAAAUCAUCUGCUCCCAGAUCAUUCUUCUGGUUCAGGAAAUAGCCUCGGUGGAGUUCCUGAACAAUUUGUACAUAGAGAAUAUAGUAAAGAACAAAGACUAAAAUAGUAUCAUAGGGGAUCAUAAUACCAGUGAGAUUAUAGACAAUAAGCGGUGAUUUUAGUACCGGCGAGCUUCUCACGCGUUGCCUAUGCGGGCCACGCGCCGGGCGGCAACAGUGCGGCCAGCUCUCGGCUGCCGCUCGCUCUUCUGGUGGCCUCCGUCAGCUCUCUGUUGGUGUUAAGGACACUCCCGCGCGCCUAGCGCCGGUCACCGCGUCUCCUCUGUGAUUGUGUUGUGUGCCUGACCGCGUUCGGUAUAUUGUGUAUAGCGAACGCCAUGUUGUGAUGUAUGAUCUUUUAUACUGUUGCGAGAACGAUAAUUUAAUUCGAAGUCAUAGUUUUUAUACUUAAUAUUAUAAAUAGAUGAUGUAAGUCCGAGUGUGAUAUUGACGUAAGCGACGAUUUUUGUAUUAAAAAUAUUUGAAGAUA